Long non-coding RNA from Cyprinus carpio (common carp), 712 nucleotides. RefSeq lists it as uncharacterized. The record is from RefSeq and is a predicted model, not a curated record. NCBI's taxonomy places the organism in Eukaryota, Metazoa, Chordata, Actinopteri, Cypriniformes, Cyprinidae.
UGGACGAGUCCUCAGUCUGCCGCGGUGGGAUGUGAUGAUGAGUGUGUGGAAGACCCGAGUGUAACGUCACUGCUGUUCAGAGAGUGGAAUCUGGCGACAUGUGACUGAGCUGUGGACGAGUUUCUGCGAAUGCCGUUUAAUCUUUAAAAAUCUUAUUUCCACAAUACGAAUUCUGGUAAUGCUUGUAUAAAUAUAGCUUUUAUAUUUUUGUUCUACUAGUGUGUUGGCUUUUUUUUUUUAACAUUAAAUGUGACUUUGAAACCCAUCAAGCUUGCUGUCUUCAGAUUACUUUAUUUGGAAAAUGCUGUUAAAGUAGAGCUUCCACGGUCUUCUAAAAUGGUUGAUUUAUAGUUUAUGGUACGUUUUAACAUUGGGCUUAAUCUAAAGAGUAAUUGAAGAGUAAAAUUGGCUUAAAAAAAAAACCUGGAAAGGUGAACCCUGUUAAACUGAAGUUUUUAUAUAGGCCACAUGGUUUUUCAGAUAAUCAUGGUGACGAUCCUGUCCUGGAAGGGGCCACCUUCCUGCAGAGUUUAGCUCUGACCCAAAGUAUCACAGCUACUAGCUAAUCUGGUUCACCAGGGUUCUGCAAAAUACUGCGGUCAGAUCUUUUAGGAAGUGUCUUAGAUUUGACUUUGUAUAGAUUUGUUUUGAAGUGUCCAUUCAUGUAAAUAAUAAAAUAGUUGCCUUUUAGUCUUUUUUUUUUUUUUUUUUU